AUACUUACCUGGACAGGGUCAAUGGGCGAUCAAGAAGGUCCAUGGCCUAGAAAAGUGACUUUCAUUGCACUUUGAAUGGGUGCUUUUCUAAGGUCUGUCCUAGUGACAGAGCCUAUGUCAUAAUUUGUUGAAGUGGGGGCCUGCGUUCGCGCGGCCCCUAU
Vigna angularis (adzuki bean) is the source of this 161-nucleotide small nuclear RNA. It matches the Rfam family "U1 spliceosomal RNA". From Rfam's summary of the family: U1 is a small nuclear RNA (snRNA) component of the spliceosome (involved in pre-mRNA splicing). Its 5' end forms complementary base pairs with the 5' splice junction, thus defining the 5' donor site of an intron. There are significant differences in sequence and secondary structure between metazoan and yeast U1 snRNAs, the latter being much longer (568 nucleotides as compared to 164 nucleotides in human). Lineage: Eukaryota; Viridiplantae; Streptophyta; Magnoliopsida; Fabales; Fabaceae. The record is from Rfam.